Non-coding RNA from Microcebus murinus (gray mouse lemur), 3511 nucleotides. NCBI's taxonomy places the organism in Eukaryota, Metazoa, Chordata, Mammalia, Primates, Cheirogaleidae. The record is from RefSeq and is a predicted model, not a curated record.
CCCAGCCCCCGUAACCUCUAACCUAUUCCCUCUCCGUGGUCUCGUCUGUUCUAGAGAGUUCUGGUUAGCGGGCCGGACAGUGUUAGUCCUCUUGCUGUGGCCGUGUGUCAGCACAGCGCCCUGGAGGCCCGUCCAGGGGCACCACGCAGGUGACCAGGUUACCGGCCUCCUUUUCAGACCGAGCAGCCUUCCACGGUGCGGACGGACCUCGUUUGUCCGUCCGUCCAUCCAUCUAUCCAUGCUGCCGCGGACACGGCGUCCGAGUCCCCGUUUGCUGUCUCUGGGAGGGGCUGCCGGCUCACGGGGGCUCGACCUUUCGCUUUCUGAGCAGCCACCCGCCUUGCGUUCCCACGGCGAUGCGCGAACGUUCCAGUUCCUCCACAUCUUCGCCAACAGCCGUUAUUUUCCUUUUUCACAAACAUUCCAGCCGUCUGUUGGAGUCUGUUUCCCGUUGCUCACGGUUCGGGAGGCCGGGAGGCCCAGGCCGAGGGCCCGCGCUGGCGAGGGCCUUCCCGCCGGGGGACCUGCGAAGCCACAGUUGCCCUGCCGUGCCAAGUACCCGGCCAUCAAGGACCUGAUGCGGCCGGACCCGCAGCUCAAGUGGACGGUGCUGGCGCUGGUGCUGGCGCAGCUGCUGGCCUGCUGGCUGGUGCAGGGGCUGGCGUGGCGCUGGCUGCUCUUCUGGGCCUACGUCUUUGGCGGCUGCGUGAACCACUCGCUGACGCUGGCCAUCCACGACAUCUCGCACAACGCCGCCUUCGGCACAAACUGCGCCGCCUACAACCGCUGGUUUGCCAUCUUCGCCAACCUGCCCGUGGGCCUGCCCUACGCCGCCUCCUUCAAGAAGUACCACGUGGACCACCACCGCUACCUAGGUGGCGACGGGCUGGACGUGGACGUGCCCACGCGCCUCGAGGGCUGGCUCUUCUGCACGCCGGCCCGCAAGCUGCUCUGGCUGGCGCUCCAGCCCUUCUUCUACUCGCUGCGACCGCUCUGCGUGAACCCCAAGGCCGUGACCCGCAUGGAGGUGCUCAACACCCUGGUGCAGCUGGCGGCUAAUGCCGCCAUCUUUGCCCUGUGGGGGCUCAAGCCCAUCGUCUACCUGCUGGCCAGCUCUUUCCUGGGCCUGGGCCUGCACCCCAUCUCGGGCCACUUCGUGGCCGAGCACUACAUGUUCCUCAAGGGCCAUGAGACCUACUCCUACUACGGGCCCCUCAACUGGAUCACCUUCAACGUGGGCUACCACGUGGAGCACCACGACUUCCCCAGCAUCCCGGGCUGCAACCUGCCCCUGGUGCGGAAGAUCGCGCCCGAGUACUACGACCACCUGCCGCAGCACCACUCGUGGGUGAAGGUGCUCUGGGAUUUUGUGUUUGAGGACUCCCUGGGGCCCUACGCCAGGGUGAAGCGGGUGUGCAAGCUGGCGGAGGACCGUCUGUGAGCCUGGCCGGACCCCCGUCCCCGGGGGGGUGGGAGCCCUAGGUUGCUCCUGCCGAUUGCCAUGGGCUAGCGCCUGAGAGCUGGCUCGGCCGUGUUUGACUCCUGCAUGGGGCUGCUGCUUUUGUCCCCCAGCAGGCCCUGGAAUUGCCAUCAGCAGCCAGCCCUGGUGACAGUGGCAGGGCUGCAGCCUGGCGCUGCCUGGUCGGCACAUGGACUCGCGGUGGGCCUUGGGACAGGCCUCCCCUCUGGCCCCGCCCACUGUGACCCAGGCGCUCUGUGUCCGUGGUUGCCACAGAGCGGAGUUCUCUGGUGUUCCUGUGCUCUAAAUUAAACCCAGUGUGUGUUGUCGUAGUCCAUGGAUUGUGUUCUGAGGGGUGGUGGUGGCCCGGCUGCCCUUCCUCCUAGCCAGUCCCAAGUGGUGUCCCGUUUGCUCUGGCUCCUUGGGAGGAUGGUGGCUGCUGCCUGGGUGGUGGUCCCCAGGGCCCUGCGUGGCAAGUGGUGGCCUCUGGGGCGUGCGCAGCGGAAGGCAUACUGUGUGGCCUGAAGCCCCUCCCCUCCUGGCUGCGCUCUGCAGGGACCCUCACUCUGCCUUCUGCCCUCCCCUGCAGGGAGCCUUCCUUGAGCCCAGAGACGGUUCAGGCCAGGCACUGGGGUCUGUCUUCCCACCCUCAGGGGUGGGGGCGUAGGGAGCGCUGCACAGAACAGGUGCCUGAGCUCGGGGACUGGACAGACAGCUGAGUGCUCAGCAGGAAGCAGGCUGGGCAGUGUCCUUGGAUUCUGUGAAGCAGGGACACACGUCUGUCCUUUCUGCAGAAGGGCUGAUGGCACAGCUGGGACCUAAGGAGGCUGCCUUCUCCUGGGGGCUGCACUGGGGUGGGGUUAGGGGGUCCUGGUGUCCCAGAGACGGGCGGGCAGGCAGCAGUGGGCUGCCGGAGUGAGGCCCUCCCCGCAGCUUCCACCGCAGCCCUGGGAAGGCAGCUUCCAUGGCCUAGGGAAGGGUGGCUGAGGCUUGGCUGUCCCUGCUGCCCUGGGAGAGGAGGGAGGGCUGGGAGGAGGCCUGGCAGUGGCCUUGGACGGUACCAGGCACCUGUGUCUCUGAAUGGUCGCCCUGGGUGUGUUCUUCGAGGACUUUGAUCUUGGGCGGCGGCCCCUCCCGUGGCUGUGCCUAGAGGGCUCCCCACCCACUCGCCACCUUCCUGCAGACAUCACAGAAGGGCAUGUCUGGGCCGCACCCACAAGCUGGGCCUGGGGUCUGAGGGUGUCAGCACUCCCAGGAGGAGGCCGCUCCUCUCUGGGGAGCGGGUGUCAGCACGGGCUGGGAGCCCCCAGGGCUGCGUCAGCCCUCUGAAGGCCACCUGCUGGCUCCCCAGGCCUGAGACUGGGAUUCCCGGACCUGGCUUAGAACUGCCGUGACACCUGGGAAGCCAUCCUGGGAGCCUCCGCGGCUCGCCUCCCGGGGGCACACGAUCACCCCCGUCUUUCAGGGCUGCAGGACACUCAGGGAACUGAGGCGCGUCAGGAGCCAGACCAGGACAGGAAACGGCAGUGCCCCUUGUAAUCAGCAGACCAGGGCCCAGGAGGCAGGACCGGAGGCCCAGCCCCAGGGCACGGGCCGGAGGUGCCGGAGCCGCCCCAGCUCACCCUUCCAGGUCUCAGAUGUUCUGAUUGAGCCCAGCCACCCACUGAAGACCUUGUCUUGCUCCUGUGACUCCUGUUGCCAUGGUCCUGGGCCUGUCCCCUGCCAGGAGCCACCAGAGCCAGCACAACAGAGUGAGAGCCGGAGCCUGAAGGUGUGGACAGUAAACUGUUUAUUACCGUGUGGACACAGACACCGCGGUGCAUGGACAGACAGUUUCAACACCAUGAUUGCUGGGGACGGAGCUGCGCGCAGACAGCUCUGCUGUGUGUGGUGACACCACGCUGUGCCUGCUGUCAUCGGCAGCUGAGGCGCUAAGCGUCACCUAGGAGAAAACUCGGAAACCGUCUAAUGAAGCAGGUGAUGUGGGGGCAUCCUCUCUAUUAUCCAAAAGAAAUGUACACUUAAAUAAGCAAAUAUAAAAUACAAAAAAGA